UCGUGGCAUUUAUAAGGAUGCAUCGAAAACACCAUUUCAUACAGUCCCAAGCAGUCUAACGAGGACGUCAGCUUAUCAACUAUACGAGAAGAGCUAGUGUGGUACCACCUGCAAAAUAACAAAAAUGCUAGCUACAAAAUCGAUGUUGACCAUACUUGUGGUGUUGGCACUAAUUUGCAGUGCAAUGGCUUGUGAUGGAUUUGAUCGUCCAUGCACUGGACCUAAUGGUCGUCAAGGCAGUUGUUGUAAGGGAAUGCAUUGUCAGAAGAACAACCCCUCUUGGGCAAAAGGACGCUGUUACUAUAACCCUGGGAAGUAACUGCUAAAUAUGCACUACUAACACAUACUAAAAUGAUUAUUAAAUCAUUGUAGAAAAUAAAAACUAACUGCAGAAGAAA
Molecule: long non-coding RNA, 398 nt
Organism: Belonocnema kinseyi
Lineage: Eukaryota; Metazoa; Arthropoda; Insecta; Hymenoptera; Cynipidae
Exons: 2
Source: RefSeq, a predicted model, not a curated record